RNAcentral lists this unclassified non-coding RNA (181 nucleotides) under uncultured Xylaria. Its description in RNAcentral is "sequence contains ITS1". The record is from RNAcentral. Lineage: Eukaryota; Fungi; Ascomycota; Sordariomycetes; Xylariales; Xylariaceae.
AAGAGUUUUUACAACUCCCAAACCCCUGUGAACAUACCUUCUGUUGCCUCGGCAGGCCCUGGCCUACCCUGUAGCGCCCCUACACUGUAGGGCCUGCUUUAGGGGGGCGCUGGGGGAACCUGCCGGCGGCCCGCAAAACUCUGUUUAGCAUUGAAUUCUGAACGUAUAACUAAAUAAGUUA